Molecule: ribosomal RNA, 468 nt
Filed under: uncultured bacterium
Lineage: Bacteria
Description: partial 16S ribosomal RNA
Rfam family: Bacterial small subunit ribosomal RNA
Source: RNAcentral
GACGAACGCUGGCGGCGGGCUUAACACAUGCAAGUCGAACGGAAAGGCCCUGCUUUUUUGGGGUGCCCGAGUGGCGAACGGGUGAGUAACACGUGAGUAACCUGCCCUUGACUUUGUGAUAACUUCAGGCAACUGGGGCUAAUACCGGAUAGGAGCUCCUGCUGCAGGGUGGGGGUUGGAAAGUUUCGGCGGAUGUGGAUGGACUCGCGGCUUAUCAGCUUGUUGGUGGGGUAGUGGCUUACGAAGGCUUUGACGGGUAGCCGGCCUGAGAGGGUGACCGGCGACAUUGGGACUGAGAUAGGGCGCAGACUCCUACGGGAGGCAGCAGUGGGGAAUAUUGCACAGUGGGCGGAAGCGUGAGGCAGCAACGCCGCGUGUGGGAUGACGGCCUUCGGGUUGUAAACCGCUUUCGCCUGUGACGAAGCGUGAGUGACGGUAAUGGGUAAAGAAGCACCGGCUAACUACGUG